RNAcentral lists this ribosomal RNA (770 nucleotides) under uncultured Neocallimastigales. Its description in RNAcentral is "partial large subunit ribosomal RNA". It matches the Rfam family "Eukaryotic large subunit ribosomal RNA", at positions 22 to 646 of the family's 3401-position model. Lineage: Eukaryota; Fungi; Neocallimastigomycota; Neocallimastigomycetes; Neocallimastigales. The record is from RNAcentral.
GUACACGCUGUGACUAGCAUAUCAAUAAGCGGAGGAAAAGAAACCAACAAGGAUUCCCUUAGUAACGGCGAGUGAAGCGGGAAGAGCUCAAAUUUGAAAUCUUGAAAGGUCACCUUUCACGAAUUGUAGUUUAAAGAAGUGUUUUCUGUCACGAUCGUAAUAUAAGUUCUUUGGAAUAGGACAUCACAGAGGGUGAGAAUCCCGUCUAUGAUUGCGAUUUGUAGCUUUGUGAUACACUUUCAAAGAGUCGGGUUGUUGGGAAUGCAGCCCAAAACGGGAGGUAAAUUUCUUCUAAGGCUAAAUAUUGGCGAGAGACCGAUAGCGAACAAGUACCGUGAGGGAAAGAUGAAAAGAACUUUGAAAAGAGAGUUAAAUAGUACGUGAAAUUGUCAAAAGGGAAGCGUUUAACACCAGUGUUGUUUUCUGAAAAUCAACCUCUGUUAGCUUUAUGCAUGUUUGUUUAGACCUAAUCAGCUAUCUUGCAUGUUCUAUUGUUUGCAGUGGUGCACUUUUCAGUUUACAGGUCAACAUCAGUUUUUUUUACCGUAAAAAAGUUAAAGAAAGGUAGCUCAUGGCUCCGGUCGUGAGUGUUAUAGUCUUUUUCCUAUGCGGUAGGAGAGACUGAGGUCUGCAGUGUAGGCUAUUUGGCUAGAUACUCAGGUGCUAUGUGAUACCAUUUCAUAAACAACUUGUUGAUUAUGUUUUGUCUAUUGCAUACUCGCUUGUACUAUCAUACCUACGCUUAGGAUGUUGAGUAGCGACAUACGCAC